Molecule: long non-coding RNA, 579 nt
Organism: Dermacentor silvarum
Lineage: Eukaryota; Metazoa; Arthropoda; Arachnida; Ixodida; Ixodidae
Exons: 3
Source: RefSeq, a predicted model, not a curated record
AUAGCCACAGCUUUCAUCUAAGCGAGAACGACUGCGUUGCACUGUGUUAAGCUCGAGAUGCUUGUAUUCGUUGAAUAUGAAGUGGACAUGACCACUGCGGUUGUCAGGCACACCGCAGUGCAAAACUUUAACCCAGAGAAUGUCGUGGAUUUCGAUCCAAUUGUCCUCUACGACGUGUGGUGGAACGGCGAUGCGACAGAGUGCUGAACAUGGCUGAAACUGAAGAAAUGGUUCUGCACACGUCGAAAAGGCUCAGAAAGCUGUCCUUAGAAAAGGGCAAGAAGAGCACCAAAGGAAUUAUAACUGCCAUGGCCUCUAUGGCACCUUUGUCACAGGAGCAUGGUAAGAGUACAUUUUUUGUACAGCACUGUUCAGUUUCAACCACCAAUUUUUUCUAGUUGUGCAGUACUUCACACUCACUGAUAUUCGUCCAUGCUCAGCAGUGCUUACUCACUGCCACUACCUUACAAAUGGACCUUUUUCCAGUAAGCGACCCGUCUAGCGGCCGCCACUUCAACUAAAUUUGACGGGCAAGACACACACGCUCCCACCGCUUCUCGCCUCUACGCAAAGCAUGGU